RNAcentral lists this long non-coding RNA (202 nucleotides) under Mytilus galloprovincialis (Mediterranean mussel). Lineage: Eukaryota; Metazoa; Mollusca; Bivalvia; Mytilida; Mytilidae. The record is from RNAcentral.
AUUUUGUUAAAUUAGUAUACACAAAAGGAUUAUAGAAAUAAAAAUUAACAGCUGUAAAAACAAACAGCAAUUAAUCAGAUUAAAAUGUCCAGGGGUAAUGCCACUAUUACAUGUAUUUUAUCUAAUUAGCAAAAUAUUGCUAAUAUUUAGACAUUAUAUACAUUGUUUGUACUAAAAAAUUAUUUUCAAUAUUGUGACAAGC